This 358-nucleotide unclassified non-coding RNA is filed under the name soil metagenome. Its description in RNAcentral is "partial contains 5.8S ribosomal RNA, internal transcribed spacer 2, and large subunit ribosomal RNA". The stretch from base 1 to 120 matches the Rfam family "5.8S ribosomal RNA", at positions 35 to 154 of the family's 154-position model. The record is from RNAcentral.
GAUGAAGAACGCAGCGAAUUGCGAUAUGUAAUGUGAAUUGCAGAAUUCAGUGAAUCAUCGAAUCUUUGAACGCACAUUGCGCCCGUCAGUAUUCUGGCGGGCAUGCCUGUUCGAGCGUCAUUACGCCCCUCAAGUCCCCUGUGGACUUGGUGUUGGGGAUCGGCGAGGCUGGUUUUCCAGCACAGCCGUCCCUUAAAUUAAUUGGCGGUCUCGCCGUGGCCCUCCUCUGCGCAGUAGUAAAACACUCGCAACAGGAGCCCGGCGCGGUCCACUGCCGUAAAACCCCCCAACUUUUUAUAGUUGACCUCGAAUCAGGUAGGACUACCCGCUGAACUUAAGCAUAUCAAUAAGCGGAGGA